This is a long non-coding RNA of Marmota flaviventris (yellow-bellied marmot), 280 nucleotides long. RefSeq lists it as uncharacterized. The record is from RefSeq and is a predicted model, not a curated record. NCBI's taxonomy places the organism in Eukaryota, Metazoa, Chordata, Mammalia, Rodentia, Sciuridae.
UGACCCACCAGCCUCUUAUCUGAGUCUGUUGGAAGGAACCACGGAACCAUGUCCACUUUUCAGCUAGAAGAAGUCACAUGGCCUUGGAGAUGAGGAUCUCAAGCACAGACAAGCAAAGGGACCGGUGCCAGUGUCUACUGUGAACUAACCCUGAAGCCAACAAUGUUCCUGAAGUACUCAUAAAAUCCCUGUUCAAAGGAUAAGCUCUAAGCUGAAUGCGUACAUCUACCCAGCUACAUUCAAGUCUCGUCAGAGUCUUUCCAAUACAAUCUCCCAGCCU